This 4362-nucleotide long non-coding RNA is filed under the name Homo sapiens (human). RNAcentral describes it as "HSALNT0309752". The record is from RNAcentral. Lineage: Eukaryota; Metazoa; Chordata; Mammalia; Primates; Hominidae.
GUGUUGUGUGUGGGAUGCUGUUGUUUCAGUCACUGCCAGUCAUUUUCUCAGCUAUCAGGACGUGAACCCGUGUUUGCUCCUUGCAUCCGGGAGGCGCUGCUGAGGGGUGACCUCGAUCCACAGGAAGUGUGCGCUGUGUACGGGAACGUUUAAACCGGGCAUCCCUCGUUUUCUGAGAUGGGACGUGAAGGCCGAGUGGAGAUCGGUAGGCAGCAGCAAUGCCUCUGAAGUUGGGGACAAAGCGGGAAAGAAUCCAUGUGAACAAGCAGUUUGGGCAAUUUAUUUGAUUGUGUGUGUGUUUCCGGCUUUUAAAUAUAAAAAAAAUUUUCAAUUGUGGUAAGAAACACCUAACAAAAUUAACCAUUGUAACCAUUUGUUAGUGUACAGUUCAGCAGUGUUAAUUAUAUUCACGUGGUUGUGCACCCAAUUUCUAGAAUUUUUUCAUCUUGCAAAACUGAAGCUAUUAACAUACACCCAUUAAAUAGCUAUUCAAUUAGAGUUUUUAAAGGCAGGUGGUUCUUCUGAAACACAAGGUUACUGUCAGGCCCGUGGUGAACUCAAAUGUUUGCUAACUAUAGAGAGAAAGAUGGGAAAAAACAAAUGUUUAUACAUACAAUAACUAUAGCUACACAUAGAUAAAAUAUGUCUAUAUUAUCAAUAUAGAAUACAUAGUAAAUGUGUAUUUAUAACAUAUGUAUAAUUUAAUGUAAAUGUACAUUAAAUACAUGAAUUAUAUAAGAAGUUAAAUGUGUGCACGGACGUGUGUGUGCAUAUGCCCAUCCUCGAUUUACCCAAAGACGCGGGCCAUUGCAGAGCUCGCGCAUUCCGCAGUGGGAUUUCUUCUUAUUCCUCUGGUCCAGAUCUCCAGAACUGAUUGUGCUGUUUUCUUUCUCUGAAUGAAUCGAGCCUCAUGAGGGCCCUCUUGGCUCUGGCACCCAUGGGCCCACGCCGCGCCCCCGACCCCAGGUCUCAUCCCCUUUUUCGUGCACGCCCUCCCAGCCCAGUGGAGUCUUGGCGCCCCCGGCUGGAUGGCAGGCUGGCCACACUCCACCACGGGCCAGAUGGAGCCUGCAGUCUGCAUCCGCUUCCCCCCGAGUCACCCCGCAGCCAGGUCCGGAGCAUUCCACUGUCUCCCUAUCCCACUGUCAGUGUCUGCGUGCAGGUGCUGAGCCUGGCUUGGUGUUCUUCUGUCCUUUGUUUCCUGUGACCCUGUGGUGAGUGUGACCCCGUGGUGGGGCAGGGGCUGCUCUCUGGCCUUCCCAGUGGAGAGGAUGAGCAAGGGGCCCCGGCAGCCGAUGGGGGGCUUGGAGAAAGGGCGCUUACCCCACCCUGGGGCUCCUUGGGGCUGCCAGGGGAAUGGUGCCCAGGCUGGCUCUGAAGAUAGGGUAAGAUGACUGGGCCACCAAGGUGGGGGCUGUGGGGAGCGCUAGGGAGGCCCUGCCAGGAGCCGGUGCCCUGAGAGCAGGGCGGGCACUGGGCCAGCUCAGGCCGAGGGGACCUGCCAGACCCCUCCUGGGAGCUUGGACCUCCUUGGCCUGGAGCAGGCCUCUCAUGCUGGCAACACAGAGAGUCACGGAGUCAGAGGCCCUGGACAUUUUGGGGCCUCCAGAGGCACACGUGGCCUGUGAGCCAGCACCUGUGUGGACAGCGCCCUGGCAGUGGCUUCGGUUAGUGGACGGCCUCGUAACCUGUGGUGGCGACGCCUGAGCUGGGGCAGCUGACGCCUGGGGAACUGCUUUUGGUUUCAAGUUCAGAGUCAGAGUGAGCAGAGGUAGCCUUUGGGCUGCCAUAGAGGAGCGCAGCCCACCCCGGCUUUGGGAGGACAGCAUCUGGGCACCGAAGGCAGAGGCCCCGCAGGCUGGGGAUGUCUCUGAAGCACGCUCACGGCACCUCUGACCUGUGUUUUCCUUUGGUGGGAUUCCUGUGAAUGCCAUUUUGGCUACUGGUUUAUUUCUCUGAUAUUUACUCAAUGUGAUCUCCCAGGUCCUCUGUGCAGUUUUGUUCUGCUGUUCACCGGCUGAAGUUCCAGGCCCUGCUGCCUGAUCGCCUCUGCUUUGCAUCCGUUGGUGCCUGUUCUGCGGACGCCAUAGCAUCACUGUUCUCAGUGUCCCUCCUUAGAGGGGCUUGAAUUACCUCUGUGUCUUCCGGGCUCAGUUUUUCUGUGUACCUUGGUCAUUCUUUUUCUUGCUUCAACUUUUUCAGUGGCUGGUCAAUUGUUCAUAUCUAAGUAUGAGGGGAAGAUACAUUUCAGAUGGAUUCAAGGCUUAACUGUAAAAAGUUAUGUGUGUGAGCAUGCAUGUUUGUGUGUUUGUGUUAGUGUGUGUGAGUGCCUGGGUGUGAGUGUGCAAGUGUGAUUGAAUGUGUGAGUUUGAGGUUGUCUUCCCUGGGGUCACCAGGGGAGUGGUGUGUCACCCGUGGGGUUGGCAUUCACCUCCCCCCAGCCAUCUGCCUGGGACCCCACUGGCCUUUUGCUCUCUCGGGGUGUUCAUGGCAGUUGAUGUUAAAUGAUCCAUUGAGCCCAGCGUUUCACACCGUGAUGCCUUUGUUCGUUCAGCCUGCUAUCAUAAAAUACCUUAGGGUGGAUGAUAUGUAAAUAAUAGAAAUUUCUUGCUCACAGUUCUGGGGGCUGGGAAGUCCAAGAUCAAGGUGCCAGCGGACUUGGUGUCUGCACUGCCUUGUUUUUGUGAAAGGAUCGGGGAGGGAGGAAGGCAAGGUUAAUUUUUUCUUUCUGAUGUACUAGUGGAUAAAAAGAGUUCUAGAACAUUUGAGGAGGCCCUAGGGGAAACUGGAGACAUGGAAAGCAGAGGUUUUCGUUGGUAAACCAGAGAGAUGAGGAGUUUUAGUUUUUGUAGUGCCCGAUGCAUUGCCCCCAGCCUCUUUCUGUCAUGAUGUCUUGAUGUCUCCCUACUCAGCUGCUAGCACUUCUGCUGAGGGAAGCAGUCACAAAGGCCGGUGGCCCUGGCCUGAGCAUGGAUGUGGCUUUCUUGGUUCUUGGCUGCGGUUUCCUUGAACUCUCUGUGGUCUGCAGGACCUGAUGCAUGAGAAUCACAUGUGGGGAGGGUGUUUCUUGUGUUUAUCAGUGUUUCCAUUUCUUUGGAAGUUACCUGGAUGCUGUUAUGAGUGGAUUUGGUGGACUGAUUUGCAUGGGUGUGGCCUCAAGGACUGCAUUUUCUAAGGAGAUGGUGUUUUUAAUGCCUUAGCCAGGAGAUUGCAGGGGGCCGCGGGCCACAUGUGUGGUUCUCUGGGAAGAUUCUGCUCUGGAGCUCUGCUGAGGGAUGUUAUUUCAAACUUCAGUACUAUCUUCAUGAACAAAAGAACAACGUAGGUCUCCGUUGAGUUGCUCACAUCACCCGAGAGAGCAUGGCUUUGGUGCUCCUCACCCAUGUCCAGAUCAGAGCAUUUAGGCUUCACCUGGGGAAUGGACAGGGGCAGGAGCUGGGAGAUCACUGCCCAGGGGUGGCUCUGUGUCCGGGGUGACCUGGACUGGGCCCAUUGCCUCCUGGGGCUGAGGUUGCUUCCUUUCAUCGGGCCCUGUUUCUUUAGAAAGAUACUGGGCUUUGACUUUUGCCUUCUGUCGGCACCUGGCCCUGCAGCUGAUGGAAACUGGCAGAGCAAAGGACUUCACUGGGACAGUGAGCAGUGGGGCAGCCCUGUGUUUACAGGCAACCCCAGACCCUCUUAUGACAGAAGGGGAGGGCAGGGCAGCCGGCCUUCACCUGGAUAGGAACAGCAGGUGGCUGAUGUAUCUGAGUUGGUAUAUUCAUUCAGAGACAUUGGUUAAAAUUACUUGUCAAUAUAACAUCUUUACCAUUGUUUUCUUCAAAGCCAGAUUCUGUAUUUUCUGAUUUUAUGUAAACUAAAUACAUAGUUUUCUUAAAUACAGAUGACCUCUGCCUUCACAGUUUCUUUGGAUACCUUUCAAGUCAGUUUAACACACAUGCUCUCCGGAAACAAAACUCAGCCACUGGGGAACCGAACCUACGCUUUUGGUAGAAUCUCAGCCUUGGGGGGAGCCUGGAGGCCCUGAGCCCUGGAUGACACCUGCUCUGGAAUCCUCCACCAGUGGCUUUUGAAAUGUGGUUGGUGGCUGAAUCUCACUUCUGCCUUGGAUGCUUAUGGAAUCUUCUGGAUGGACUGAGCUCAGAAUCUCAUUGAAUACUGUGGUCCUCUCAGUCUGAACUUUGUACCUAAAAAUCCACGGGAAUCUCAUAGCAGCUGCUGAGGAUUUGGAGAACUCCCUUAGAAAAAUAAAAGGAAUUUAUUUUUUCCUAUUUUAUGUAGUGGCUAUUUAAAUUUUGAACAUCAAAUGGUAGUUUUGGAUUUUAAAAGCUCAGUGUGAAUAAACUUUGAGCUCAGAUGCAG